This 253-nucleotide ribosomal RNA is filed under the name uncultured bacterium. Its description in RNAcentral is "partial 16S ribosomal RNA". It matches the Rfam family "Bacterial small subunit ribosomal RNA", at positions 524 to 776 of the family's 1533-position model. The record is from RNAcentral.
UACGUAGGGUGCAAGCGUUAAUCGGAAUUACUGGGCGUAAAGCGUGCGCAGGCGGUUAUGUAAGUCAGAUGUGAAAUCCCCGGGCUUAACCUGGGAACUGCAGUCGAGACUGUCUAGCUAGAGUAUGGGAGAGGGAAGUGGAAUUUCAGGUGUAGCGGUGAAAUGCGUAGAUAUCUGAAGGAACAUCAGUGGCGAAAGCGACUUCCUGGACCAAUACUGACGCUCAUGUGCGAAAGCGUGGGGAGCAAACAGG